GGAGGCGUCGCAUAGUGGUCUAGUGCGCUCGCUUGGAAAGCGAGUAGGGGUAACACUCUCGAGAGUUCGAAUCUCUCCGCCUCCG
RNAcentral lists this transfer RNA (85 nucleotides) under bacterium. RNAcentral describes it as "tRNA-Ser". It matches the Rfam family "tRNA". Rfam says of the family: Transfer RNA (tRNA) molecules are approximately 80 nucleotides in length. Their secondary structure includes four short double-helical elements and three loops (D, anti-codon, and T loops). Further hydrogen bonds mediate the characteristic L-shaped molecular structure. tRNAs have two regions of fundamental functional importance: the anti-codon, which is responsible for specific mRNA codon recognition, and the 3' end, to which the tRNAs corresponding amino acid is attached (by aminoacyl-tRNA synthetases). tRNAs cope with the degeneracy of the genetic code in two manners: having more than one tRNA (with a specific anti-codon) for a particular amino acid; and 'wobble' base-pairing, i.e. permitting non-standard base-pairing at the 3rd anti-codon position. The record is from RNAcentral.